This 253-nucleotide ribosomal RNA is filed under the name uncultured bacterium. RNAcentral describes it as "partial 16S ribosomal RNA". It matches the Rfam family "Bacterial small subunit ribosomal RNA", at positions 524 to 776 of the family's 1533-position model. The record is from RNAcentral.
UACGUAGGUGGCAAGCGUUGUCCGGAUUUACUGGGCGUAAAGGGCGUGCAGGCGGUCUGUUAAGUCUAGGGUGAAAGCUCCCGGCUCAACUGGGAGAGGUCCUUGGAUACUGGCGGACUUGAGGGAGGCAGAGGAGAAUAGAAUUCCCGGUGUAGUGGUGAUAUGCGUAGACAUCGGGAGGAAUACCAGUGGCGAAGGCGGUUCUCUGGGCCUUACCUGACGCUGAGACGCGAAAGCGUGGGGAGCGAACCGG